This is a long non-coding RNA of Esox lucius (northern pike), 452 nucleotides long. The record is from Ensembl. Lineage: Eukaryota; Metazoa; Chordata; Actinopteri; Esociformes; Esocidae.
GUUGUUUCAAGCGUGGAGUAUAUCGAUUCUGUUGUUGAGCGGAUUUGAACACCGACCGUGUUUGGUAAACAAAUUUUUGGACCUCCAAAUCUUGUUCAAGUGACCGGCAUCUGCGUCAGUUGGACUGGGAGGUCAGACUGUGAUCUUACACAACCUGAGCAGAUACUUUGUAUUGAGGACAGCCGGGGUGAUGAUACAAAGUACAUUACCACAAUGGGGUCAGUUACGGACACCCUUCCUUGUGGCUGCACAGCGUGAGGGGAUUUUUGUUUUCUUUCAGGCUUGAAAGCUGAAGUGGAGAAGGAGAACUUAGUGGAGAAGGAGAACUGACCCUACUCCCCCAGCACAAUUGGAGGGAGGGCAUCCCAGUAUUGAUGAGAGCCCAUCUAGCAAGACAGCAUGGGUGGACAGUAUCAAGCCUUUCUGGUCAUCUUCACGCCCCUGGGCCAGGC